GGCACCCCUUACCAGUGGCGUUCGGGUGAGUGAUGUAUCGGAACGUGCCCAGUCGUGGGGGAUAACGUAGUGAAAAUUACGCUAAUACCGGAUACGAUCUACGGAUGAAAGCGGGGGAUCGCAAGACCUCGCGCGAUUGGAGCGGCCGAUAUCAGAUUAGGUAGUUGGUGGGGUAAAGGCCUACCAAGCCAACGAUCUGUAGCUGGUCUGAGAGGACGACCAGCCACACUGGAACUGAGACACGGUCCAGACUCCUACGGGAGGCAGCAGUGGGGAAUUUUGGACAAUGGACGCAAGUCUGAUCCAGCCAUUCCGCGUGCAGGACGAAGGCCUUCGGGUUGUAAACUGCUUUUGUACGGAACGAAAAGCCUUGGUUAAUACCCAGGGUCCAUGACGGUACCGUAAGAAUAAGCACCGGCUAACUACGUGCCAGCAGCCGCGGUAAUACGUAGGGUGCAAGCGUUAAUCGGAAUUACUGGGCGUAAAGCGUGCGCAGGCGGUUAUAUAAGACAGAUGUGAAAUCCCCGAGCUUAACCUGGGAACUGCAUUUGUGACUGUAUAGCUAGAGUACGGCAGAGGGGGAUGGAAUUCCGCGUGUAGCAGUGAAAUGCGUAGAUAUGCGGAGGAACACCGAUGGCGAAGGCAAUCCCCUGGGCCUGUACUGACGCUCAUGCACGAAAGCGUGGGGACCAAACAGGAUUAGAUACCCUGGUAGUCCACGCCCUAAACGAUGUCAACUGGUUGUUGGGUUCUUCACUGGCUCAGUAACGAAGCUAACGCGUGAAGUUGACCGCCUGGGGAGUACGGCCGCAAGGUUGAAACUCAAAGGAAUUGACGGGGACCCGCACAACCGUGGAUGAUGUGGUUUAAUUCGAUGCAACGCGAAAAACCUUACCCACCUUUGACAAUGGUACGGAAUUUUGCCAGAGAUGGCUUUAGUGCUCGAAAGAGAACCGUAACCACCGUUGCUGCAUGGCUGUCGUCAGCUCGUCCUUGAAGAUUUUGGGUUAAGUCCCCUAACGAGCGCCACCUGGGUCAUUAGUUGCUACAUUUAAUUGGGCACUCUAAAGAGACCGCCCGUGACCACCCGAAGAAAGUGGGGAUGACCUCAAGUCCUCAUGCCCUAUAGUGGGCCUACACACGUCAUACAAUGGCUGUACAAAGGUUCCAACCCGCGAGGGGGAGCUUAUCCCACAAACAGACCUCUAUCGAUCCAGUCUCACUCGACUGCGUGAAGUCG
RNAcentral lists this ribosomal RNA (1240 nucleotides) under uncultured bacterium. RNAcentral describes it as "bacterial SSU rRNA". It matches the Rfam family "Bacterial small subunit ribosomal RNA", at positions 81 to 1328 of the family's 1533-position model. The record is from RNAcentral.